UAGUCUUGCAUCAUGAUUCACCAUGAGUCCUAUCCAAUACGCAUCACAUACACUAGUGCACUCACCAUAGGAAACCCAUCCUAAUGGCUAAGACAAGUCAUCCCUCCAAUUAGGAGGUGGUGCACUAUAGUCUUUAUUGGAUUUCCUAAAUUCAUGAACCAACAAUGUACAACUUAUCUACUUACAAGGAACCCAUGACUUGUAUCUUCUAUGCAACUUCUAAUGAACCCAAGUCAUGUACAAUGUAAG
RNAcentral lists this long non-coding RNA (249 nucleotides) under Vitis vinifera (wine grape). RNAcentral's name for it is "long non-coding RNA (VVIN_LNC004178)". The record is from RNAcentral. Lineage: Eukaryota; Viridiplantae; Streptophyta; Magnoliopsida; Vitales; Vitaceae.